GUCUUAUCAAGAAAAGGUGGAGGGACAGGCCCGAUGAAACCUUGGCAACAGCCGUAUAACGGAAUUGUGCCAAAUCCUGCAGGUAAUAAAUCCUGAGAGAUAAGAA
Molecule: regulatory RNA element, 106 nt
Organism: Bacillus anthracis str. 'Ames Ancestor'
Lineage: Bacteria; Bacillati; Bacillota; Bacilli; Caryophanales; Bacillaceae
Rfam family: SAM riboswitch aptamer (S box leader)
About the family: The SAM riboswitch is found upstream of a number of genes which code for proteins involved in methionine or cysteine biosynthesis in Gram-positive bacteria. The SAM riboswitch acts at the level of transcription termination control.
Source: Rfam